CAGCCAGGUCCCCUGAACAAACCUUCCCUGCAUUAACCAUUCCAUGGCCGAAGUUGAAUCGCUUCUUUCUCUGCUGGAAUGUCAGAGGCACACAGAGGACAAGUCUCCAAGGGUGCAGAUAACCUGGCAGCAUCUCUCCAGGGUGCAGAUAACCUGGUCUCAAAGGAGCCGCAGCUGUGGGCAGUUUCACUCGCUGAGGGAUGCCGGGCCCUGCUCGGGGUGCGGCUGGGGUUUUUCCUCCGUCUUGUAGCAGCUGCUGGCUGCUUGCUCCGUCCCCGUCCCUCGCCUGCUGAGCAAGAGGCCCUUGGGCAGCGGGGCGAGCGUGCAGUUGAGACACUCUGCUCUGCCCGUGGAACAAGGCCACCCUCCCGGCAGGGUGUGAGGAGAGGAGCCCUCUCCAUACGCAUCCACGUUAAAGCCCCAUGAAAGAUCAGGCAAGACCCCGCCCUGCUUCUCACCUCCUCAGGGUCCCACGAUCCGUGCAGGGGACACAGUGGGGCAAGUGUGGGGUUGUUUGCCCAUGAGUGGGUGCUGGGGGGGCAGCAGCCCUGGUGACUGGCACCUUGCGUGGCCUGGUGCAUCCUGCCCCACCUGGCCUCUGUUGAACAAGGAACUCCAGAUGGGCUCAGUGGGAGGUGGGGGAGGGAUACAGGGGCAAGGCACUGGGUCAUUCCCCUCUCGCUCAGACUGGUGUCAGUCCGGAGUGACCCUGCUGCCAUCAAUAGAUCGGUGCU
Molecule: long non-coding RNA, 734 nt
Organism: Chelonia mydas (Green sea turtle)
Lineage: Eukaryota; Metazoa; Chordata; Testudines; Cheloniidae
Exons: 3
Source: RefSeq, a predicted model, not a curated record